GCGGAGCUGGUGAGUGGAGCGGUGGAGGUACGUGGGGGGAGUGGGUAGGGCGUAGUUGUGGGGUGUAAGGGGUUGGAGGGCGGUUGUGCAGGGUGAGAGUGAAGACUCGGAGUGUAACUGCGAGCUGGCUUGCGAUACGGGCGGAUUAGAGUGAGGCAUGUGAGAACGGAAUUCCUGGGGGAGCGGGGAAAUGCGCAGAUAUCAGGAGGAAAACCGGUGGCGAAGGCGGGUCUCUGGGCAUUACCUGACGCUGAGGAGCGAAAGUGUGGGGAGAGAACAGGAUUAGAUACCCUGGUAGUC
Molecule: ribosomal RNA, 300 nt
Filed under: uncultured Halogeometricum sp.
Lineage: Archaea; Methanobacteriati; Methanobacteriota; Halobacteria; Halobacteriales; Haloferacaceae
Description: bacterial SSU rRNA
Rfam family: Bacterial small subunit ribosomal RNA (bases 61-300)
Source: RNAcentral